UUGAAUAUAAAGAAAAGACGAACAGCUCAGUAACUCUUAUUUUAUUUGAUGUAUUAGGAUAAUAACUAUGUUAAAUUAUAGAUAAUAAUAAUACAAUAAGAAUAAGAUCUAUCAGUUAGUUGUUAAGGUAAUGGCUUAACAAGACUAUGACGGAUAACGGUAUUACUUUGUAAUAUUCCGGAGAAGGAGCCUGAGAGAUU
Molecule: ribosomal RNA, 200 nt
Filed under: Nosema granulosis
Lineage: Eukaryota; Fungi; Microsporidia; Nosematidae
Description: partial small subunit ribosomal RNA
Rfam family: Microsporidia small subunit ribosomal RNA
Source: RNAcentral